CGUCCCAUUUGACUACUAUUCUCUUCUAACAGACUGAGGUGGCUGUGCUUGUGGGACAGAUGAAAGAGCCACGACCUGAAAGGGGUGGUCUACUUAGUCCCUUCCCUCUAUAGGAACUGGCUGGACAGAAAAGG
Molecule: small nucleolar RNA, 134 nt
Organism: Nannospalax galili (Upper Galilee mountains blind mole rat)
Lineage: Eukaryota; Metazoa; Chordata; Mammalia; Rodentia; Spalacidae
Source: Ensembl